Molecule: ribosomal RNA, 425 nt
Filed under: uncultured bacterium
Lineage: Bacteria
Description: bacterial SSU rRNA
Rfam family: Bacterial small subunit ribosomal RNA
Source: RNAcentral
GUGGGGAAUAUUGGACAAUGGGCGCAAGCCUGAUCCAGCCAUGCCGCGUGAGUGAUGAAGGCCUUAGGGUUGUAAAGCUCUUUCAGUGGGGACGAUAAUGACGGUACCCACAGAAGAAGCCCCGGCUAACUUCGUGCCAGCAGCCGCGGUAAUACGAAGGGGGCUAGCGUUGUUCGGAUUUACUGGGCGUAAAGCGCACGUAGGCGGAUCGUUAAGUCGGGGGUGAAAUCCUGGAGCUCAACUCCAGAACUGCCUUCGAUACUGGCGAUCUUGAGUCCGGAAGAGGUUAGUGGAACUCCUAGUGUAGAGGUGGAAUUCGUAGAUAUUAGGAAGAACACCAGUGGCGAAGGCGGCUCACUGGUCCGGUACUGACGCUGAGGUGCGAAAGCGUGGGGAGCAAACAGGAUUAGAAACCCGAGUAGUCC